GCUCAGUGGGGUGUGCUUCUGGUUUGUCCCGCGCCCCCUUCCUCUUGGUCCUCCCCCGCUUCUCACACCCGCGAUGCUGCCGCAGCUCAACGAGCCGCCCUCCCGGUCUGCUGCCGACUGUCUUGAUUGGUUACUGGGGGAGCUGGAGACGGUGAUGGAGAGUCGCCACGAGGCGGAUGAUCGCUUCGACUGGCUGCGGGCCUCGAUUUACUACCUACGGACUGCUAUCGCGACGCCCCGUCAGCGCGGUGUCCCGCAUGUCUCCGAUCGGUGGCCGCGGUCGGCCCCGCCUGGCCCGUCUGAGCCUGCUCCAGAAUUUAGCUCUGCGGCGCCGGCCCCCUCCGGCUCGACGGUCCCUCGGUCUGGGCCGUCCGCGCCUCGCGGACUGACCCCCCGCUCCGUGGACUCUGUGUUGCGGGUGUCGCGGCCCCCUCCGCGCCGGCGCGGGACUUCUUCCGUCUCCGGGGCUGUGCGGCGCCACGUGACUCCCUCUGGUCCGGAGCGUCGCGGCGAGGCGCACCUGCGGCUCGCGUCGUCCCCCGCUGGUCCCGAGUCGCGGGCCCCUUCGCGGCGAGCGGCGUCCCCUGAAAGGCGCGACGCGUCCCCCGUCCGGCGCUUCCGCGCUGUGUGCCGUGGCAGCGCCUCCUCUUCCGCGUCCUCCGCUCGCCCUGUGUGGCGCUGAAUAAAUUAAAGUUUUCUGA
Frankliniella occidentalis (western flower thrips) is the source of this 701-nucleotide long non-coding RNA. RefSeq lists it as uncharacterized. The record is from RefSeq and is a predicted model, not a curated record. Lineage: Eukaryota; Metazoa; Arthropoda; Insecta; Thysanoptera; Thripidae. The transcript is spliced from 3 exons.